GGUUUUGUUUUAAAUUUUUUUUCUAAAUCAACUAAUCAAGGUUUGUGAUUCUUGUUUUGCAAACUAAAUUGAAUCUGAAACAAUUUUUAUCAACAUGCCAAGCUUUUUGAAUAUGGAAAUCUUUUCGGAACCAAAAAAAAAAAAAAUCACAACAAGAACUUUGACAAGCAAAAGUAUUUAAUAUAGGGUAAAGCUCUAAAGUUACUUCUUGAAAAUUAAAAUACUUGCAAAAAGCAUGCUUUUGGGUGAAUUCCAUAGUGUUGGAAGGGGCUUGCCAUGAUCUGCCUCACGCUCUGCUUCCACUAGUAGAUUCUCAAAUAGGAUUAGUAAAUUGGUCAAAAGAAGAGAUAGGGUACUGAGUGGUGAAUUGUUUAGAAAUAAAUUGGUAAUUUUUUUUUUAUUAAUUACCCAAAUAGGAUUUUCUACGGCUUAAUCAGUCAAUUGUCUAAAGAAACAUUGUUACUUAACUAAAAUUGAAUUAAACAACAGUUGAUUUUGGUUAAUAUAUUUUGAUUUAGCCCACAACAUUGAGAAAUCCUGGAUGUUUUGUUUCACAUAGAAAUACAAUUUGUGUAAUUCACGAAGGAUAUAUUCAAUCUUUCUGCCAAAUUUUUAUUUUCAAAUUUUGGUUUUUGAUUUUCUUUUGUUAUUAGAAUGCAGAAUAUCAGAAAUUGAUUUGUUAAUUUCGAAGAUUAUUCCUAAACUGAUGCAUUGUACUUUAUUAUUGGAUUAAUUUAACAUAAGAGCUGAGUAUAAUAUGUGCUAAUCACACCUAUUUGUAAUCACACAUCUUUCUACGGAUAGGUGUCCAACAUUUUGACUGAAAACAUAAUUGGGUUGUGUUGAUACAUGAUACAGAUAGUACUUAGAUGGUGGUGUUUUAAUUGUUAUGAGUGAGAUUGUGAAACCUCUUCCUCACAACUUGAGUGUUUUCUUAUUUAUAGGGUUUGCAUCGGCCCUUAACAUUUAGCAAGAAUAACGUUCAACAAACAUGCCUCAUCAGUCAUCAGAGGUUUCUUUUCUGAAAGAAGAGAGUUGAUGGGAAUGGGUGGAGUGGGCAAAAAGAAAAUAGCAUCCAAUUACUAACACUAGGCGUCGGAAAAUUUGGGCAAUGUCUAAAUUUAUUGAAUGGGGAUCACCUGUUUUAUCACAAAAAUUACAGCACCUUAGAUUCCACUUGAUGGAGCGUGAUUACAAUGGGUUUCUUUCGUAUCGGUUACCAACGAACAAUAGGAUGGGUGAAAUGAUGCAAAUGGCGGCUGCAAAUUUUCUACAUUUCAAAAGUUGUAAGUUCUUUGCAUUAGCAAUCAAGACUGGAUUAACACGCAUAUGAUUUGCUUACCUAAGCACCAUUUUCGAAGUUGUUCACAAUGCAUCAUUAGCAUCCACAGUGCUCCCAACAAGAAGGUUAGAGAAGUUGAUUUUCAAUCCAGAAGUGUUGUGUUGACUUUGUUGGAGCUGAAAGAGAAAAGAGAACUGGGAAUUAGGAUUUUUUGUAAUUUAACUGAUAUAUGCAACUGCCCAAAAAUUAUGUUUUGAGAAAGGAACGUCAUUUGAAAUUUGUUAAAACGGGGCCUAAGAGAACUCUUAGGGACAAAAUAAUAAAUGGGAUAUAUGAUUGGUCAUAUAAUCGUGGUUGACUCUGCAUAGAUUGCGUCUUGACUUUAUUUAUU
This is a long non-coding RNA of Cornus florida, 1673 nucleotides long. RefSeq lists it as uncharacterized. Lineage: Eukaryota; Viridiplantae; Streptophyta; Magnoliopsida; Cornales; Cornaceae. The transcript has 4 exons. The record is from RefSeq and is a predicted model, not a curated record.